This 368-nucleotide ribosomal RNA is filed under the name uncultured marine eukaryote. Its description in RNAcentral is "SSU rRNA". It matches the Rfam family "Eukaryotic small subunit ribosomal RNA", at positions 1 to 370 of the family's 1831-position model. The record is from RNAcentral.
AACCUGGUUGAUCCUGCCAGUAGUCAUAUGCUUGUCUCAAAGAUUAAGCCAUGCAUGUCUAAGUAUAAACAUUUUAUACUGUGAAACUGCGAAUGGCUCAUUAAAUCAGUUAUAGUUUAUUUGAUGGUACCUUACUACUCGGAUACCCGUAGUAAUUCUAGAGCUAAUACGUGCGUAACUCCCGACUUCUGGAAGGGAUGUAUUUAUUAGAUAAAAGACCGACCGGGCUUGCCCGUUUUCCGGUGACUCAUGAUAACUUCACGAAUCGCAUGGCCUUUGCGCUGGCGAUGUUUCAUUCAAAUUUCUGCCCUAUCAACUUUCGAUGGUAAGGUAGUGGCUUACCAUGGUGGUAACGGGUGACGGAGGAU